GUGAUAUUUAUAUAUAUUGGUUAUUAGUAUUAAAAGAAAUAUAUUAAUUAAAUAAAUAUAAAUAAAAUUUAUAAGGUUGAAUGAGAGAAUAACAUGUGACGUUAUUUGUAAUAUUUUAUUAAUAUCUAGAUUUAGAUUUAUCUUCAACAAGUUAAUCCAAGAUGAAAAGAAAACUUGUAAUCUUUUUGAAACUAGUGCUUUGCACCCGCGCGUUGCGGCGGAAACACACUUGGCUGAAUGCCCUUGCAGAACCUACUGCUGUGUAACCACAAUAUAUAGACGGAGUUUCGCAAAACCGAAACACAUAAGAAGUCUUGACAACACCAAAACUUGGUACAACCGACUGGCGACAGUAGAAUAUGGUAAACAGCGGGGAGAAUCGUUAAACAACCAUAUAAAAAGCUACCAAAUGAAACGUAGAUCCUCCUUAGCAGAUCAAUUGAUUUCUGCACAUGAAAAAAUAAUUAUCGAACACACAUUACAUGCUUAUGUCCAAAUAGACAAAACUAAAGGUAAACAUUUGAAGUUGUUUUGCAUUUGAAACUGAA
RNAcentral lists this long non-coding RNA (548 nucleotides) under Helianthus annuus (common sunflower). Its description in RNAcentral is "hypothetical non coding rna". Lineage: Eukaryota; Viridiplantae; Streptophyta; Magnoliopsida; Asterales; Asteraceae. The record is from RNAcentral.